GAUGAACGCUAGCGACAGGCCUAACACAUGCAAGUCGAGGGGUAGCAGGAUGUAGCAAUACAUCGCUGACGACCGGCGCACGGGUGAGUAACGCGUAUGCAACCUACCUUCUACAGGGGGAUAGCCCGGAGAAAUCCGGAUUAAUACCCCAUAAAACAGGGACUCCGCAUGGAGAUAUUUGUUAAAGAUUAAUCGGUAGAAGAUGGGCAUGCGUUCCAUUAGCCAGGUGGUGAGGUAACGGCACACCAAAGCAACGAUGGAUAGGGGAACUGAGAGGCUUAUCCCCCACACUGGAACUGAGACACGGACCAGACUCCUACGGGAGGCAGCAGUGAGGAAUAUUGGUCAAUGGGCGCGAGCCUGAACCAGCCAAGUCGCGUGAAGGAAGACUGCCUUAUGGAUUGUAAACUUCUUUUAUAUGAGAAUAAAAAGAGUUACGUGUAACUUAUUGCAGGUAUCAUAUGAAUAAGCAUCGGCUAACUCCGUGCCAGCCGCCGCCGUAA
This 503-nucleotide ribosomal RNA is filed under the name uncultured bacterium. RNAcentral's name for it is "partial 16S ribosomal RNA". It matches the Rfam family "Bacterial small subunit ribosomal RNA", at positions 28 to 523 of the family's 1533-position model. The record is from RNAcentral.